Molecule: non-coding RNA, 1170 nt
Organism: Onthophagus taurus
Lineage: Eukaryota; Metazoa; Arthropoda; Insecta; Coleoptera; Scarabaeidae
Source: RefSeq, a predicted model, not a curated record
UAAAACCCAAAGCUUUUAUUAAUAAGAUAUUUCAACUAAAUAUUAGAUGAAAUAACUACUACAUAAUACGUUGUUAUAUCGAUAUUCAAUAGUAAAAAAAUCUAAUCGUUCUUGUCGGAAAUAUAUCUACAUAAUCAGAGGUCCAUAAACUAUUUUAGUAGAUGAAAUGAUUAUAAAUUGUAACCAUUUCAAUUAGCUAAAUUAACUACUACAUUUAACAAACGUAUUAAGUAUUUAAAGUAAACAAUCUAUAAAAUUAUAUUAGUUAAAAUAACUGCAACGGUAGGCGAAACUACCACAAUUUGGCGGCGCAUUGUAGUUUAUAUGUGACGUCAUCAACAUCUCCGCUUCGGGCUUCAGUUUCAUUCGUAUAGAAACUAUGAUCGUGUUAAUAAGUGUUCUCGUGUUUCCGAGUUGGUACAGUACUAAUAAUGUUCCAAGACGCCAUAGUAGUAGACGAGGCCAACGUGGUUGCAAAUUUAUUGGAGAGUUGGGGUGUUUCACAACUAAUUAACGAUUUUGAAGGGAUAUCUGACACCACUACCAUCCACCGAAAGUGCAUGUACAACACCCUCUAGUUUAAGCAGUUGGUUAUAUGAAAACAGUACUAUUGAGGUUGAUAAAGAAGGUGAGGAAAAUAAGGAAAAUGAACACAACAUAUUCUCACUGGGUUUAGAAAAAUUACUGCAGUCGACAAUAACUGGAAAAAUAAUACUUCAAGAUAGUGGUGCCCAAAAGUUUUUAAGUGUAAAGAAUAGACAUGCACUCACUACAAUCAUAGCCCAGUACUUACUAGACCAUGACGUAACAGUGGGAAAAGCCGUCUACCAGGAUAUACUCAAAAAAAUUUAAAAAAAUUUUCUUAGAGAGGAUGAGGUAACAUAUAUUGGUGAAAAAUUCAAAAGAGGAAAACUAGUAGAAAAGUAUUAUAAUUUGUCAAAAAAAUAUCGAAACGUUGGUAUCAUUAAAAGUAAAUACAAACGAAAACGUUCUACGGACAGUGAGUCAACAAGUAAUUCAAUUAAUGAAGAAAGUGAAGACAUUUUAGAAAAAGUAAGCGGUGAUAAGGAAUGGUUACGAUAUAAUCAGUCUCCUAUAGACAUUGUUGAGAAAAAGUAGAAAAAUACUUUUGGCAUUAGAAGAAAAGACAUUUUAAAUGGAUGUGGACGU